GCGUGCUAAUACAUGCAAGUAGAACGCUGAAGAGAGGAGCUUGCUCUUCUUGGAUGAGUUGCGAACGGGUGAGUAACGCGUAGGUAACCUGCCUUGUAGCGGGGGAUAACUAUUGGAAACGAUAGCUAAUACCGCAUAACAAUGGGUGACACAUGUCAUUUAUUUGAAAGGGGCAAUUGCUCCACUACAAGAUGGACCUGCGUUGUAUUAGCUAGUAGGUGAGGUAACGGCUCACCUAGGCGACGAUACAUAGCCGACCUGAGAGGGUGAUCGGCCACACUGGGACUGAGACACGGCCCAGACUCCUACGGGAGGCAGCAGUAGGGAAUCUUCGGCAAUGGGGGGAACCCUGACCGAGCAACGCCGCGUGAGUGAAGAAGGUUUUCGGAUCGUAAAGCUCUGUUGUUAAGGAAGAACGUGUGUGAGAGUGGAAAGUUCACACAGUGACGGUACUUAACCAGAAAGGGACGGCUAACUACGUGCCAGCAGCCGCGGUAAUACGUAGGUCCCGAGCGUUGUCCGGAUUUAUUGGGCGUAAAGCGAGCGCAGGCGGUUAGAUAAGUCUGAAGUGAAAGGCAGUGGCUCAACCAUUGUAGGCUUUGGAAACUGUUUAACUUGAGUGCAGAAGGGGAGAGUGGAAUUCCAUGUGUAGCGGUGAAAUGCGUAGAUAUAUGGAGGAACACCGGUGGCGAAAGCGGCUCUCUGGUCUGUAACUGACGCUGAGGCUCGAAAGCGUGGGGAGCGAACAGGAUUAGAUACCCUGGUAGUCCACGCCGUAAACGAUGAGUGCUAGGUGCUAGGUCCUUUCCGGGACUUAGUGCCGCAGCUAACGCAUUAAGCACUCCGCCUGGGGAGUACGA
Molecule: ribosomal RNA, 860 nt
Filed under: uncultured Streptococcus sp.
Lineage: Bacteria; Bacillati; Bacillota; Bacilli; Lactobacillales; Streptococcaceae
Description: bacterial SSU rRNA
Rfam family: Bacterial small subunit ribosomal RNA
Source: RNAcentral